GAUGAAGAACGCAGUGAAAUGCGAUAAGUAAUGUGAAUUGCAGAAUUCAGUGAAUCAUCGAAUCUUUGAACGCACCUUGCGCCCUUUGGUAUUCCGAAGGGCAUGCCUGUUUGAGUGUCAUGAAACCUCACCCCACUUGGGUUUUUGCCUGAGCGGUGGUGUAUUGGGUGUUGCCUUGCUAAAGGCUCGCCUUAAAGACAUAAGCACCUUGGAUGUAAUACGUUUCAUCCUUCUGGGUGGCUGAUAACCCCACAUAUUCAUGAUCUGGCCUCAAAUCGGGUAGGGCUACCCGCUGAACUUAAGCAUAUCAAUAAGCGGAGGA
RNAcentral lists this unclassified non-coding RNA (322 nucleotides) under soil metagenome. RNAcentral's name for it is "partial contains 5.8S ribosomal RNA, internal transcribed spacer 2, and large subunit ribosomal RNA". The stretch from base 1 to 120 matches the Rfam family "5.8S ribosomal RNA", at positions 35 to 154 of the family's 154-position model. The record is from RNAcentral.